GCCUACGGGAGGCAGCAGUGGGGAAUAUUGCGCAAUGGGGGAAACCCUGACGCAGCAACGCCGCGUGAGUGAAGACGUAUCUCGGUAUGUAAAGCUCUAUCAGCGGGGAAGAAGGAAGACGGUACCCGACUAAGAAGCCCCGGCUAACUACGUGCCAGCAGCCGCGGUAAUACGUAGGAUGCGAGCGUUAUCCGGAUUUAUUGGGUUUAAAGGGUGCGUAGGCGGACUGUUAAGUCAGCGGUAAAAGCCCGGGGCUCAACCCCGGCGAGCCGUUGAAACUGGCUGUCUUGAGAUGUCGAGAGGUA
Molecule: ribosomal RNA, 305 nt
Filed under: uncultured bacterium
Lineage: Bacteria
Description: bacterial SSU rRNA
Rfam family: Bacterial small subunit ribosomal RNA
Source: RNAcentral